CUGGGAGGACCAUCUCCUAAGGCUAAAUACUCUCUAGUGACCGAUAGUGAACCAGUACCGUGAGGGAAAGGUGAAAAGCACCCCGGAAGGGGAGUGAAAUAGAACCUGAAACCGUGUGCUUACAAGUAGUCAGAGCCCGUUAAUGGGUGAUGGCGUGCCUUUUGUAGAAUGAACCGGCGAGUUACGAUUUGAUGCAAGGUUAAGCAGUAAAUGUGGAGCCGUAGCGAAAGCGAGUCUGAAUAGGGCGUUUAGUAUUUGGUCGUAGACCCGAAACCAGGUGAUCUACCCUUGGUCAGGUUGAAGUUCAGGUAACACUGAAUGGAGGACCGAACCGACUUACGUUGAAAAGUGAGCGGAUGAACUGAGGGUAGCGGAGAAAUUCCAAUCGAACCUGGAGAUAGCUGGUUCUCUCCGAAAUAGCUUUAGGGCUAGCCUCAAGUGAUGAUUAUUGGAGGUAGAGCACUGUUUGGACGAGGGGCCCCUCUCGGGUUACCGAAUUCAGACAAACUCCGAAUGCCAAUUAAUUUAACUUGGGAGUCAGAAC
This 544-nucleotide ribosomal RNA is filed under the name Staphylococcus aureus. RNAcentral's name for it is "partial 23S ribosomal RNA". It matches the Rfam family "Bacterial large subunit ribosomal RNA", at positions 444 to 990 of the family's 2925-position model. The record is from RNAcentral. Lineage: Bacteria; Bacillati; Bacillota; Bacilli; Caryophanales; Staphylococcaceae.